UCUUUUCUAUUUGUUGGCAUUCGGUUAAAUCGAAUCGGGUGCGCCCAUAAUUGGGCUCGAUCCGACCGUUAUUAUGUUAUCUAAUUGGAUUAGGAUUAAUCUCGCUUUCAAAUUGAAAAACUAAUUAGAGAUAAAUUCUAAUCAUAUUAGGGUAACAAUUUAUAACCGAUUUGGCCUUAUCUCUUAUGCUAUUAGGAUUUUGGAAUCCCUUAUAAAUAUACAAUAAGAAAACAAAAAGAGAGAAACUACAUCCUCCAUUAACCUAUUAUUCUAGAGGGACUUGCACGGUGGAUUUACAAUCGUGCUCGUUUGUAGUUCGAUCCACCGCGGGUUCGGAGUUUUAAAAGACCUACAAGGACGAUCCAAGGACACGUGAAUCAAUCUCUACGAUCCGAGUUCAUCGCAUUGUAAUGCGAAUCGCUUCCGCAAAAAGGUGCGAACGAAUACUUCCGCUGCGUUCUACACUAUUAGUUACUAGAAAAAAUAAUGUGUCCUACAAAAAUCGCACUAGUUCAAACAUCACAUCC
This 527-nucleotide long non-coding RNA is filed under the name Ananas comosus (pineapple). RNAcentral's name for it is "long non-coding RNA (ACOM_LNC011578)". Lineage: Eukaryota; Viridiplantae; Streptophyta; Magnoliopsida; Poales; Bromeliaceae. The record is from RNAcentral.